AACAUUUCAACAUAUUUAGAGGUUUUAUUUUCCCCAAAUAUGUGACCAUGUAUUUAUGAAAGGAUUGUGUUAUUAAAAGGUAGUACAGAGCUAGGGCUGUAGCUUAAUAAUAGAGCACUUGUGGAACACGGCAAAGCUGGGGGGUCCAGUGGACAUCACCACACACAAGCACACAAACACCCAAGGUACCAGUUAUUUGCUGGUCUGUUUCGUGUUGCACCAAGUAUCCUAUCCUAGAUACCAUACAGGUCAGUCACUUCAGAUGACCUGGUGAUGCAGUCAGUAGAGAAGAAAACAUAUAUAUGAGGGUGCUGCUGGCAUAAGGGGGUAUAAAGUCUUUAGUAAAUAGGAGUACACACAAUAGCAUAGUAUACCUGGGCAUGGUGGCACAUGCCUGUAGUCCUAGCUAUUCCAGAGGCUAAGAAUAACAAGUUUAAGGCCAGCCUGGGCAAUAAAUGAGCACGACUCUGUCUUAAAAUAAAAAGUUAAAGAAGUUAGGGGUGCAGCUCAGUAGUAGAAUGCUUACCUAGCAUGUGGGAGGCCCUGGGUUAAAUCCCCAGUACCAUUUAAAAAAAAAAGCAUAGUAAAUACAUUCAACUAGUAACAUAGUUGUAUACUGUCAUUCUUAAAUAAUGACUGACAGUGUCAUAGGUUUGCACAGCAUCUCCACAAACACAUGUAUUGCACUAUGACAUUAAUAUGACACUAGACAUAGAUAUUUUUCAGCUCCAUUGUAAUCGUUUGGUGUCACCUUCAAAUAUGUGGCCCAUCAUUGCUAUUUUCCCAUGCUUUCUUUAAGUUGUCUAUUAUUAUUAUUACUUGUUGUUGUUUGUUUUGGUGGUACCAAGGAUCAAACCCAAGUCCUCAUGCAUGGUAGUGAAGUGCUCUACCCCUGGGCAACUUCCAAGGCCGGCCAGCCUGCCUGCCUUCCUUCCUUCCUUCCUUCCUUCCUUCCUUCCUUCCUUCCUUCCUUCCUUUUCUCCCAGGGCUAUUUAACCACUGAGCCACAUCCCUAGCCCUUUUCUGAUAUUUUAUUUAGAAACAGCAUCUCUCUUGAGUUGCUUAGUUCCUCACGAACCUGCUGAGGCUGGCUUUGAAUUUCAAUCCUCCUGCCUGAGCCUCCUUAGCUGCUGGGAUUACAGACAUGCACCACUGCACCUGUCUAGACUUGAACUUUUGAUCCUCCUGCCUCAUUCUCCUGUGUAGCUGUGAUUGUAGCCAUGUACAAUCAUGCCCCAUCAUACCA
RNAcentral lists this transfer RNA (1246 nucleotides) under Marmota monax (woodchuck). The record is from RNAcentral. Lineage: Eukaryota; Metazoa; Chordata; Mammalia; Rodentia; Sciuridae.